CCUACGGGUUGCACCAGUGGGGAAUAUUGCACAAUGGGCGCAAGCCUGAUGCAGCCAUGCCGCGUGUAUGAGGAAGGUCUUCGGGUUGUAAAGUACUUUCAGCGGGGAGGAAGGCGAUAAGGUUAAUAACCUUGUCGAUUGACGUUACCCGCAGAAGAAGCACCGGCUAACUCCGUGCCAGCAGCCGCGGUAAUACGGAGGGUGCAAGCGUUAAUCGGAAUUACUGGGCGUAAAGCGCACGCAGGCGGUCUGUCAAGUCGGAUGUGAAAUCCCCGGGCUCAACCUGGGAACUGCAUUCGAAACUGGCAGGCUGGAGUCUUGUAGAGGGGGGUAGAAUUCCAGGUGUAGCGGUGAAAUGCGUAGAGAUCUGGAGGAAUACCGGUGGCGAAGGCAGCCCCCUGGACAAGGACUGACGCUCAGGGCUAAAGCGUGGGGAGCAAACAGGAUUAGAUACCCCUGUAGUC
Molecule: ribosomal RNA, 464 nt
Filed under: uncultured bacterium
Lineage: Bacteria
Description: bacterial SSU rRNA
Rfam family: Bacterial small subunit ribosomal RNA
Source: RNAcentral